GCCGGAUUAGCUCAGUUGGUAGAGCAGCGCAUUCGUAAUGCGAAGGUCGUAGGUUCGACUCCUAUAUCCGGCACCA
RNAcentral lists this transfer RNA (76 nucleotides) under Nitrosococcus oceani. Its description in RNAcentral is "tRNA-Thr". It matches the Rfam family "tRNA". From Rfam's summary of the family: Transfer RNA (tRNA) molecules are approximately 80 nucleotides in length. The record is from RNAcentral. RNAcentral also lists the same sequence under 12 other names. Lineage: Bacteria; Pseudomonadati; Pseudomonadota; Gammaproteobacteria; Chromatiales; Chromatiaceae.